AAGUGUGGGAAGGGUAGACGAAAGCAACCAGGACAGGGCAGUAUCCCGGGGCUGUUAUCCCUAGGCCUGAAGGGACACAGGGAGGUAUUGUUAACAAAACCCAGAAAGAGUAAUUCAAAAACCUUUCCUGGAGAGGGUCACUUUGAGAGGAGCUGUGAUCUCGGAGGGAAAGGGGCAACCUGCUUUAAGUGACCCAGCAGGGAGUAAAUACGCCCACUUCCCUCUCCUUUCUUCUUGUUGGGGCCCAUCAGCUAAGCACUGACUAGUCCUGAGUCAGACAGCGGAGUGGAGAGGGUGGGGAGGAACCGGAGGGAGGAACAGAAGAGAAAAACCCUCUUCUCUGGAUACAGUACCCUGCUAUCUUGAUGGGCCACUUGGAAGGCAGUGACGACAGGAUGGAUCUUCUAGCCUUGAUGUCUUCCACAAUGGUGCCAGAGAGGCGUCUGGGUGACUCAGUCAAUUAAUCAUCUGCCUUCAGCUCACGUCAUGAUCUCAGGGUCCUGGGAUCAAACCCCGCCCCGCUUCCAGGCUCCCUGCUCAGCGGGGAGUCUGCUUCUCCCUCUCCCUCUGCCCCUCCCCCCGCUUGUGCUCUCUGUCUCUUUCAAAUAAAUAAAUAAAAUAUUUUUUAAAAAUGGUGCUAGGGGCGCCUGGGUGGCUCAGUCGUUAAGCGUCUGCCUUCGGGAGGCGCCUGGGUGGCUCAGUUGGUUAAGCGACUGCCUUCGGCUCAGGUCAUGAUCCUGGAGUCUCGGGAUCGAGUCCCGCAUCGGGCUCACUGCUCGGCAGGGAGUCUGCUUCUCCCUCUGACCCUCCCCCCUCUCAUGCUCUCUCUCUCUAUCUUAUUCUCUCUCUCAAAUAAAUAAAUAAAAUCUUAAAAAAAAAAAAAGCGUCAUGAUCUCAGUGU
Molecule: long non-coding RNA, 901 nt
Organism: Mirounga angustirostris (Northern elephant seal)
Lineage: Eukaryota; Metazoa; Chordata; Mammalia; Carnivora; Phocidae
Exons: 3
Source: RefSeq, a predicted model, not a curated record